This 465-nucleotide ribosomal RNA is filed under the name Vreelandella stevensii. Its description in RNAcentral is "partial 16S ribosomal RNA". It matches the Rfam family "Bacterial small subunit ribosomal RNA", at positions 338 to 795 of the family's 1533-position model. The record is from RNAcentral. Lineage: Bacteria; Pseudomonadati; Pseudomonadota; Gammaproteobacteria; Oceanospirillales; Halomonadaceae.
CCUACGGGUGGCUGCAGUGGGGAAUAUUGGACAAUGGGCGAAAGCCUGAUCCAGCCAUGCCGCGUGUGUGAAGAAGGCCUUCGGGUUGUAAAGCACUUUCAGUGGGGAAGAAAGCCUUGGGGCUAAUACCCUCGAGGAAGGACAUCACCCACAGAAGAAGCACCGGCUAACUCCGUGCCAGCAGCCGCGGUAAUACGGAGGGUGCGAGCGUUAAUCGGAAUUACUGGGCGUAAAGCGCGCGUAGGCGGUCUGAUAAGCCGGUUGUGAAAGCCCCGGGCUCAACCUGGGAACGGCAUCCGGAACUGUCAGGCUAGAGUGCAGGAGAGGAAGGUAGAAUUCCCGGUGUAGCGGUGAAAGGCGUAGAGAUCGGGAGGAAUACCAGUGGCGAAGGCGGCCUUCUGGACUGACACUGACGCUGAGGUGCGAAAGCGUGGGUAGCAAACAGGAUUAGAUACCCCAGUAGUC